UUGUCGAUUCCUGCAAAAUGCAGAACAACCCGCGAACCAGUUUGCCUGCCAACGUCCCGCCGCGCGCGGGAACGGUGCGGGGCGCGUCGGAGCUGCGAACCGUGCUUGCUUGCGCGUGUCCGGCCUCGCGCGCCUUGCGCCCCCUAACGAACCCCGACGCGAGUUGCGUCAAGGAAUCUUGAACUUAGAACGCGGCUCCCCUGUCCCGAUUUCGGGACCAAGGGGUUCCUGCGAACUGAACAUAUCAAACGACUCUCGACAACGGAUAUCUCGGCUCUCGCAUCGAUGAAGAACGUAGUGAAAUGCGAUACUUGGUGUGAAUUGCAGAAUCCCGUGAACCAUCGAGUUUUUGAACGCAAGUUGCGCCCGAAGCCUUCUGGCCGAGGGCACGUCUGCCUGGGCGUCACGCAUCGCAGCCCCCCGCACCACAAAAGAAACUUACAAUGCCUCGCUGCUCGAUCGAAGCGGACACUCGUGCCUACUUCGUCGUCCGUUGUUGGGGUUUUGUUUGCCUUUGUUGGGUGGUCGGGGAGGCGACGUUGGCCUCCCGUGCGGGUAACCUCGCGGUUGGUCUAAAUUUGAGUCCUCGGCGUCUUGCGGCGCGAUCGACGGUGGUUGCAAUGCCCUCGACGAAUUACGUUGCGCCUGCGAGACGCGCGAUCGGGAACUCCUGGUCGACCCUAAUGCGUGGACUCGUUGGUUGGACAACACCAGCCAGCGAGAAGACGUUAUCGAAGCGACCCCA
Molecule: ribosomal RNA, 745 nt
Filed under: Begonia morsei var. myriotricha
Lineage: Eukaryota; Viridiplantae; Streptophyta; Magnoliopsida; Cucurbitales; Begoniaceae
Description: eukaryotic LSU rRNA
Rfam family: 5.8S ribosomal RNA (bases 251-406)
Source: RNAcentral